UACGUAGGGUGCGAGCGUUAAUCGGAAUUACUGGGCGUAAAGCGUGCGCAGGCGGUUAUGUAAGACAGUUGUGAAAUCCCCCGGGCUCAACCUGGGAACUGCAUCUGUGACUGCAUAGCUAGAGGUACGGUAGAGGGGGAUGGAAUUCCGCGUGUAGCAGUGAAAUGCGUAGAUAUGCGGAGGAACACCGAUGGCGAAGGCAAUCCCCUGGACCUGUACUGACGCUCAUGCACGAAAGCGUGGGGGAGCAAACAGG
This 256-nucleotide ribosomal RNA is filed under the name uncultured bacterium. RNAcentral describes it as "partial 16S ribosomal RNA". It matches the Rfam family "Bacterial small subunit ribosomal RNA", at positions 524 to 776 of the family's 1533-position model. The record is from RNAcentral.